This 409-nucleotide ribosomal RNA is filed under the name bacterium. RNAcentral's name for it is "partial 16S ribosomal RNA". It matches the Rfam family "Bacterial small subunit ribosomal RNA", at positions 355 to 776 of the family's 1533-position model. The record is from RNAcentral.
UUGGGAAUAUUGCACAAUGGGCGAAAGCCUGAUGCAGCGACGCCGCGUGAGGGAUGACGGCCUUCGGGUUGUAAACCUCUUUCAGCAGGGACGAAGCGCCAGUGACGGUACCUGCAGAAGAAGCACCGGCUAACUACGUGCCAGCAGCCGCGGUAAUACGUAGGGUGCAAGCGUUGUCCGGAAUUACUGGGCGUAAAGAGUUCGUAGGCGGUUUGUCGCGUCGUUUGUGAAAACCAGCAGCUCAACUGCUGGCUUGCAGGCGAUACGGGCAGACUUGAGUACUGCAGGGGAGACUGGAAUUCCUGGUGUAGCGGAGAAAUGCGCAGAUAUCAGGAGGAACACCGGUGGCGAAGGAGGGUCUCUGGGCAGUAACUGACGCUGAGGAACGAAAGAGUGGGUAGCGAACAGG